This 479-nucleotide ribosomal RNA is filed under the name uncultured bacterium. RNAcentral describes it as "bacterial SSU rRNA". It matches the Rfam family "Bacterial small subunit ribosomal RNA", at positions 28 to 507 of the family's 1533-position model. The record is from RNAcentral.
GAUGAACGCUGGCGGCGUGCCUAACACAUGCAAGUCGAACGGAGUUACUUUGGUGAAGUUUUCGGAUGGAUCUGAUUUAACUAGUGGCGGACGGGUGAGUAAUGCGUGAGCAACCUGCCCUUCAGAGGGGGACAACAGUUGGAAACGACUGCUAAUACCGCAUAAGCCCACGGCUCGGCAUCGAGCAGAGGGAAAAGGAGCAAUCCGCUUUGAGAUGGCCUCGCGUCCGAUUAGCUAGUUGGUGAGGUAAUGGCCCACCAAGGCGACGAUCGGUAGCCGGACUGAGUGGUUGAACGGCCACAUUGGGACUGAGACACGGCCCAGACUCCUACGGGAGGCAGCAGUGGGGAAUAUUGCACAAUGGGGGAAACCCUGAUGCAGCGACGCCGCGUGGAGGAAGAAGGUCUUCGGAUUGUAAACUCCUGUUGUUGAGGAAGAUAAUGACGGUACUCAACAAGGAAGUGACGGCUAACUACGUG